CAGACUGUAACUGCCAGAGCAGC
This 23-nucleotide non-coding RNA is filed under the name Cricetulus griseus (Chinese hamster). Lineage: Eukaryota; Metazoa; Chordata; Mammalia; Rodentia; Cricetidae. The record is from RNAcentral.